UAAAGGUAACGUGUCUACCCAAUUGCAAU
RNAcentral lists this small RNA (29 nucleotides) under Bombyx mori (domestic silkworm). Its description in RNAcentral is "ovarian small RNA-18365". Lineage: Eukaryota; Metazoa; Arthropoda; Insecta; Lepidoptera; Bombycidae. The record is from RNAcentral.